GCCUAACACAUGCAAGUCGAGCGGCAGCACGGGAAGCUUGCUUCCUGGUGGCGAGCGGCGGACGGGUGAGUAAUGCAUAGGAAUCUGCCCGGUAGUGGGGGAUAACCUGGGGAAACCCAGGCUAAUACCGCAUACGUCCUACGGGAGAAAGCAGGGGCUCUUCGGACCUUGCGCUAUCGGAUGAGCCUAUGUCGGAUUAGCUGGUUGGUGAGGUAAUGGCUCACCAAGGCGACGAUCCGUAGCUGGUCUGAGAGGAUGAUCAGCCACAUCGGGACUGAGACACGGCCCGAACUCCUACGGGAGGCAGCAGUGGGGAAUAUUGGACAAUGGGCGCAAGCCUGAUCCAGCCAUGCCGCGUGUGUGAAGAAGGCCCUCGGGUUGUAAAGCACUUUCAGUGGGGAAGAAAGCCUUCCGGUUAAUACCCGGGAGGAAGGACAUCACCCACAGAAGAAGCACCGGCUAACUCCGUGCCAGCAGCCGCGGUAAUACGGAGGGUGCGAGCGUUAAUCGGAAUUACUGGGCGUAAAGCGCGCGUAGGGGCUUGAUAAGGCCGGUUGUGAAAGCCCCGGGCUCAACCUGGGAACGGCAUCCGGAACUGUCAGCUAGAGUGCAGGAGAGGAAGGUAGAAUUCCCGGUGUAGCGGUGAAAUGCGUAGAGAUCGGGAGGAAUACCAGUGGCGAAGGGGCCUUCUGGACUGACACUGACACUGAGGUGCGAAAGCGUGGGUAGCAAACAGGAUUAGAUACCCUGGUAGUCCACGCCGUAAACGAUGUCGACUAGCCGUUGGGUCCUUCGCGGACUUUGUGGCGCAGUUAACGCGAUAAGUCGACCGCCUGGGAGUACGGCCGUAAGGUUAAAACUCAAAUGAAUUGACGGGGGCCCGCACAAGCGGUGGAGCAUGUGGUUUAAUUCGAUGCAACGCGAAGAACCUUACCUACCCUUGACAUCCUCGGAAUCCGCCAGAGAUGGCGGAGUGCCUUCGGGAACCGAGAGACAGGUGCUGCAUGGCUGUCGUCAGCUCGUGUUGUGAAAUGUUGGGUUAAGUCCCGUAACGAGCGCAACCCUUGUCCCUAUUUGCCAGCGAUUCGGUCGGGAACUCUAGGGAGACUGCCGGUGACAAACCGGAGGAAGGUGGGGACGACGUCAAGUCAUCAUGGCCCUUACGGGUAGGGCUACACACGUGCUACAAUGGUCAGUACAAAGGGUUGCGAACUUGCGAGAGUGAGCCAAUCCCAGAAAGCUGAUCUCAGUCCGGAUCGGAGUCUGCAACUCGACUCCGUGAAGUCGGAAUCGCUAGUAAUCGUGAAUCAGAAUGUCACGGUGAAUACGUUCCCGGGCCUUGUACACACCGCCCGUCACACCAUGGGAGUGGACUGCACCAGAAGUGGUUAGCCUAACCUUCGGGAGGGCGAUCACCACGGUGUGGUUCAUGACUGGGGUGAAGUCGUAACAAGGUAGCCGUAGGGGAACCUGCGGCUGGAUCACCUCCUU
RNAcentral lists this ribosomal RNA (1491 nucleotides) under uncultured Halomonas sp. Its description in RNAcentral is "bacterial SSU rRNA". It matches the Rfam family "Bacterial small subunit ribosomal RNA". The record is from RNAcentral. Lineage: Bacteria; Pseudomonadati; Pseudomonadota; Gammaproteobacteria; Oceanospirillales; Halomonadaceae.